GACGAACGCUGGCGGCGUGCUUAACACAUGCAAGUCGAACGAUGAAGAAGAGACACGCGCACUUCGGUUCAAAUUUCACUUCGGAUUAGUGGCAGACGGGUGAGUAACGCGUGAGCAACCUACCUCUUACAAAGGGAUAGCCUCGGGAAACCGUGAUUAAUACCAUAUGACACAUUCAUAAGGCAUCUUAAGAAUGUUAAAGCUACGGCGGUAAGAGAUGGGCUCGCGUCCCAUUAGCUAGUUGGUGAGGUAACGGCCCACCAAGGCGACGAUGGGUAACCGGCCUGAGAGGGUGAACGGUCACAUUGGAACUGAGACACGGUCCAAACUCCUACGGGAGGCAGCAGUGGGGAAUAUUGCACACUGGAGGGAACUCUGAUGCAGCGACGCCGCGUGAGCGAUGAAGGAAUUCGUUUCGUAAAACUCUGUUCUAUGGGAAGAAAAGGACUGUACCAUAGGAGAAAGCCCCGGCUAAAUACGUG
This 482-nucleotide ribosomal RNA is filed under the name uncultured bacterium. RNAcentral describes it as "partial 16S ribosomal RNA". It matches the Rfam family "Bacterial small subunit ribosomal RNA", at positions 28 to 507 of the family's 1533-position model. The record is from RNAcentral.